Molecule: ribosomal RNA, 429 nt
Filed under: Actinomycetes bacterium
Lineage: Bacteria; Bacillati; Actinomycetota; Actinomycetes
Description: Actinobacteria bacterium partial 16S ribosomal RNA
Rfam family: Bacterial small subunit ribosomal RNA
Source: RNAcentral
UAGGGAAUCUUCCGCAAUGGGCGAAAGCCUGACGGAGCAACGCCGCGUGAGUGAUGAAGGUCUUCGGAUCGUAAAACUCUGUUAUUAGGGAAGAACAAAUGUGUAAGUAACUAUGCACGUCUUGACGGUACCUAAUCAGAAAGCCACGGCUAACUACGUGCCAGCAGCCGCGGUAAUACGUAGGUGGCAAGCGUUAUCCGGAAUUAUUGGGCGUAAAGCGCGCGUAGGCGGUUUUUUAAGUCUGAUGUGAAAGCCCACGGCUCAACCGUGGAGGGUCAUUGGAAACUGGAAAACUUGAGUGCAGAAGAGGAAAGUGGAAUGCCAUGUGUAGCGGUGAAAUGCGCAGAGAUAUGGAGGAACACCAGUGGCGAAGGCGACUUUCUGGUCUGUAACUGACGCUGAUGUGCGAAAGCGUGGGGAUCAAACAGG